CAUGAAAGUUGGGAAGAGACCCGUCAAAAGGAUCUGACGGGCACCGAAGGGGCAAAUUUGCUCCCCCGCAAGGCGCAAAUGAAACUCUCAGGUACCAGGGACCCUGCUUUCUAC
Molecule: non-coding RNA, 114 nt
Filed under: Levilinea saccharolytica
Lineage: Bacteria; Bacillati; Chloroflexota; Anaerolineae; Anaerolineales; Anaerolineaceae
Description: Glycine sequence
Rfam family: Glycine riboswitch aptamer
About the family: This family represents the bacterial glycine riboswitch. Glycine riboswitches usually consist of two metabolite-binding aptamers domains with similar structures in tandem. The aptamers cooperatively bind glycine to regulate the expression of downstream genes.
Source: Rfam by way of RNAcentral